This 24-nucleotide non-coding RNA is filed under the name Arabidopsis thaliana (thale cress). Lineage: Eukaryota; Viridiplantae; Streptophyta; Magnoliopsida; Brassicales; Brassicaceae. The record is from RNAcentral.
GACAAAGGUGUAGAAGUCAAACCA